This 69-nucleotide transfer RNA is filed under the name Endobacter medicaginis. RNAcentral describes it as "tRNA-Gly". The record is from RNAcentral. Lineage: Bacteria; Pseudomonadati; Pseudomonadota; Alphaproteobacteria; Acetobacterales; Acetobacteraceae.
AGUGCAGCAGACGCUAUGAGGACCUUGCCAAGGUUGGGGUCGAGGGUUCGAAUCCCUUCGCCCGCUCCA